GAUGAACGCUGGCGGCGUGCCUAAUACAUGCAAGUCGAGCGAACAGACGAGGAGCUUGCUCCUCUGACGUUAGCGGCGGACGGGUGAGUAACACGUGGAUAACCUACCUAUAAGACUGGGAUAACUUCGGGAAACCGGAGCUAAUACCGGAUAAUAUAUUGAACCGCAUGGUUCAAUAGUGAAAGACGGUUUUGCUGUCACUUAUAGAUGGAUCCGCGCCGCAUUAGCUAGUUGGUAAGGUAACGGCUUACCAAGGCGACGAUGCGUAGCCGACCUGAGAGGGUGAUCGGCCACACUGGAACUUAGACACGGUCCAGACUCCUACGGGAGGCAGCAGUAGGGAAUCUUCCGCAAUGGGCGAAAGCCUGACGGAGCAACGCCGCGUGAGUGAUGAAGGUCUUCGGAUCGUAAAACUCUGUUAUUAGGGAAGAACAAAUGUGUAAGUAACUAUGCACGUCUUGACGGUACCUAAUCAGAAAGCCACGGCUAACUACGUG
RNAcentral lists this ribosomal RNA (497 nucleotides) under uncultured bacterium. RNAcentral describes it as "partial 16S ribosomal RNA". It matches the Rfam family "Bacterial small subunit ribosomal RNA", at positions 28 to 507 of the family's 1533-position model. The record is from RNAcentral.